UCAGCAGCCGCGGUAAUACGUAGGRUGCGAGCGUUGUYCGGAUUUAUUGGGCGUAAAGAGUUCGUAGGCGGUUUGUUAAGUCWGAUGUUAAAGACUGGGGCUCAACCUCGGGACUGCAUUGGAUACUGGCAGACUGGAGUAUGGUAGAGGCAAGUGGAAUUCCCAGUGUAGCGGUGAAAUGCGUAGAUAUUGGGAAGAACACCGGUGGCGCAAGCGACUUGCUGGGCCAUUACUGACGCUGAGGAACGAAAGCUAGGGGAGCSAAUGGGAUUAGAUACCCCRGUAGUCCUAGCCGUAAACGAUGGAUACUAGGCGUAUSGGGUAUCGACCCCUGAUGUGCCGCAGCUAACGCGAUAAGUWUCCCGCCUGAG
Molecule: ribosomal RNA, 371 nt
Filed under: uncultured cyanobacterium
Lineage: Bacteria; Bacillati; Cyanobacteriota
Description: bacterial SSU rRNA
Rfam family: Bacterial small subunit ribosomal RNA
Source: RNAcentral